Molecule: ribosomal RNA, 494 nt
Filed under: uncultured Mycoplasma sp.
Lineage: Bacteria; Bacillati; Mycoplasmatota; Mollicutes; Mycoplasmatales; Mycoplasmataceae
Description: bacterial SSU rRNA
Rfam family: Bacterial small subunit ribosomal RNA
Source: RNAcentral
CCGCGGUAAUACAUAGGUCACAAGCGUUAUCCGAAAUUAUUGGGCGUAAAGCGUCCGUAGGUUGUUUGUUAAGUCUGGAGUUAAAGACCGGUGCUCAACGCCGGCACGCUUUAGAUACUGGCAAACUAGAGUUAUAAAGAGGUAAGUGGAAUUUCAUGUGAAGCGGUGGAAUGCGUAGAUAUAUGAAAGAACACCAAUGGCGAAGGCAGCUUACUGGUUAUAUACUGACACUGAGGGACGAAAGCGUGGGGAGCAAACAGGAUUAGAUACCCUGGUAGUCCACGCCGUAAACGAUGAUCAUUAGUUGGUGGGGAAACCCUCGCUAACGCAGCUAACGCAUUAAAUGAUCCGCCUGAGUAGUAUGCUCGCAAGAGUGAAACUUAAAGGAAUUGACGGGGACCCGCACAAGCGGUGGAGCAUGUGGUUUAAUUUGACGAUACGCGUAGAACCUUACCCACUCUUGACAUCCCUUGCAAAGCUAUAGAGAUAUAGUG